RNAcentral lists this transfer RNA (73 nucleotides) under Patescibacteria group bacterium. RNAcentral describes it as "tRNA-Arg". It matches the Rfam family "tRNA". Rfam says of the family: Transfer RNA (tRNA) molecules are approximately 80 nucleotides in length. Their secondary structure includes four short double-helical elements and three loops (D, anti-codon, and T loops). Further hydrogen bonds mediate the characteristic L-shaped molecular structure. tRNAs have two regions of fundamental functional importance: the anti-codon, which is responsible for specific mRNA codon recognition, and the 3' end, to which the tRNAs corresponding amino acid is attached (by aminoacyl-tRNA synthetases). tRNAs cope with the degeneracy of the genetic code in two manners: having more than one tRNA (with a specific anti-codon) for a particular amino acid; and 'wobble' base-pairing, i.e. permitting non-standard base-pairing at the 3rd anti-codon position. The record is from RNAcentral.
GUCCCCGUAGUUCAAACGGAUAGAACAAGGAUCUCCUAAGUCUUAAAUAGAGGUUCAAUUCCUCUCGGGGACA